CCUACGGGCGGCUGCAGUGGGGAAUAUUGGGCAAUGGGCGCAAGCCUGACCCAGCAACGCCGCGUGAAGGAAGAAGGCUUUCGGGUUGUAACCUUCUUUUCUCAGGGACGAAGCAAGUGACGGUACCUGAGGAAUAAGCCACGGCUAACUACGUGCCAGCAGCCGCGGUAAUACGUAGGUGGCAAGCGUUAUCCGGAUUUACUGGGUGUAAAGGGCGUGUAGGCGGGACUGCAAGUCAGAUGUGAAAACCACGGGCUCAACCGGUGGCCUGCAUUUGAAACUGUAGUUCUUGAGUACUGGAGAGGCAGACGGAAUUCCUAGUGUAGCGGUGAAAUGCGUAGAUAUUAGGAGGAACACCGGUGGCGAAGGCGGCUUACUGGACUGUAACUGACGUUGAGGCUCGAAGGCGUGGGGAGCAAACAGGAUUAGAUACCCCAGUAGUC
This 443-nucleotide ribosomal RNA is filed under the name uncultured bacterium. RNAcentral describes it as "partial 16S ribosomal RNA". It matches the Rfam family "Bacterial small subunit ribosomal RNA", at positions 338 to 795 of the family's 1533-position model. The record is from RNAcentral.